RNAcentral lists this ribosomal RNA (253 nucleotides) under uncultured bacterium. RNAcentral describes it as "partial 16S ribosomal RNA". It matches the Rfam family "Bacterial small subunit ribosomal RNA", at positions 524 to 776 of the family's 1533-position model. The record is from RNAcentral.
UACGAGGGGGGCGAGCGUUGUUCGGAAUUAUUGGGCGUAAAGGGCGCGUAGGCGGUCGGAUAAGUCUCGUGUGAAAUCUUCGGGCUCAACUCGAAGUCUGCACGAGAAACUAUCUGGCUUGAGUGUGGGAGAGGUGAGUGGAAUUCCUGGUGUAGCGGUGAAAUGCGUAGAUAUCAGGAGGAACACCUGUGGCGAAAGCGGCUCACUGGACCACAACUGACGCUGAGGCGCGAAAGCUAGGGGAGCAAACAGG